Molecule: long non-coding RNA, 316 nt
Filed under: Ananas comosus (pineapple)
Lineage: Eukaryota; Viridiplantae; Streptophyta; Magnoliopsida; Poales; Bromeliaceae
Description: long non-coding RNA (ACOM_LNC030098)
Source: RNAcentral
AGUUAUAGUAUAAAGUGCUGUAACUAUAAGUAAUUUGUUUAGUUAUAUACGAUUUAGAGUGCAUUUAUAAAACUUUAUCAUUUUAUAUAUGUGGUGAUGAGAUUACCGCUUAUGUAAAAAAUAAAUAUAUUUUUCUAAUUUUAAAGUUAUUGAAGAGAUAAAUUUACCUGCUGUAGCUGGAAUUGCGACUAAUUUAGACGUAAUUCUAACCGCUAUAGUUGAGCCUCCUUGUGCAAUUCUUACUGGAGCAAUUGAAUUUAAAUAUUUCAAACCAAACAAUAGAUUUAGAUCUGUAUGUAAUUAUAAUUGUAGUACA